UGGGUAACCUGCCUCAAAGAGGGGAAUAGCCUCCCGAAAGGGAGAUUAAUACCGCAUAAUAUGUUUAAGUCGCAUGACUUUAACAUCAAAGGAUUUUCUUUUAGAAAUUCCACUUUGAGAUGGACCCGCGGUGCAUUAGCUAGUUGGUGAGGUAACGGCUCACCAAGGCAACGAUGCGUAGCCGACCUGAGAGGGUGAUCGGCCACAUUGGAACUGAGACACGGUCCAGCUCCGUAGGGAG
This 241-nucleotide ribosomal RNA is filed under the name uncultured bacterium. RNAcentral's name for it is "partial 16S ribosomal RNA". It matches the Rfam family "Bacterial small subunit ribosomal RNA", at positions 118 to 347 of the family's 1533-position model. The record is from RNAcentral.